CUAGAGUCUGCUAUUGUUCCUCUUAACCCGAAUCCACUGUCUUUGCACAUUCUCCAAUGAGAACUGGCCGGUGUGAGCUUUGAAGCCGAAAUCCACAGCGCAAGUCGCCAAUCAAACAAACCAGUCAGACAAACAGGGAGAGCGAGAGAGAGCGAGGAAAGAGCGUGCGUCUCAUAUGGACUAACAGAGCCGCGCUCGUGAUCAGUGCACGAUCUUCUGCCACUGGAUACCGGAAAGGGCCUCCUGAUCACCAUCUAUCAAAGCACAGCGAUUGAGCCUGAGAAUAAACGAGAAGGACUAUGACACAGGCGCUCAAGAGGCCGUGCACACGAGAUCGACUUGACAACUUUGGGCUCCUGAGCUCAAAUACAUCUGUAUUUAAGAUACGUUUAUUUAAUAGGACCAUCUGAGCCACAUGUGAGGAAACGUUGUGUAGUUAGAGCCUAAUGAAACAGUUGCGCAACUUAUAGCGCCAUCUAGCUCCUUUCUGUGUUCCUCCUGUGCACUGCAGCACCCCCUACAGGAACAUGUCUGCAGCGCAGACUCAGAAUGACCGGGAGCAGUGCUGGGGUUGUCUGGAAUCGCUCGGCCUCAGCCAGAGGGAGCUGGUCCUUGCAGAGGCCCUGCAGAUGGAGUAUGACGCUCUCGCCCGCCACCGACAGGACAAGGCCCCAGCAAAUACUCUACCCCCUGAAACCAAGUCAUCGCCUGCAAAAAGCGAGCCCUCCCUGCCUAGACACGUUCCCAGUCCUCCUUGGAAUAAUUUGCAGCAGGGUGUUUCCGGAUCUGACCCCAUGCUCAACCACGUUCAACCCGGGGUGUCGAACUUAUCACAAUCCAGCAGUGAGUCUUCCGGAUUUAGUAAGGAGCCUCGUUACAUUCUGGAUGAAUGGAAAAGUGACUUCGAAGGAACGUCGCAGUUGCUGUCAAAAGGGCCACCGUCUCUAGAUGAGCCUCCGCCACCAGUACCACCCAGAAAUCCCAUCCUCCAGAACGAUCCGUUCAUUGUCCAUCGAAGCUCAGCCCCACGGGAUGUCAACUUGUUCACUCCUGAGGUGGACCAGCCCAAGCUUUCCUUCGGAGACACUCUGAACUAUGAUAACCUCAAUGACUCCCUGAGCAAGCUAAAUGAGGAUUGGCUCUCACCUAAUAGAAGCCAGAGAGCAAAUGGGGACAAAUCAGGGAAGACAGUAGCUCGCAGUAACACCCUUCCUCCUCAGAUUCCUCCCCGCACCUAUCUUCCAGCGCAGAAGAGUACUAGAAGCCAACGCAGAGUAUCAAUUGAUCCGGUAUCUCUAGGGUCCAGGCCAAAUGGCUUUGGUUACGAGCUCUUUCAGGUUUCUGAAGAGAGGGAUGAAGAAGUGGCGGCCUUCUGUCAUAUACUUGACUUGCUACGAUUGGCGUACCCAUGCAAUGACUACUCCAAAAAUACAGGCUUUGUUUGGAGUCCGUGUGUGGCACAAGAUGAACUGCAGCAGGGCCUGGGGGUCAGCAUAAAGGUCACGGUUUACAGUGACAACUUCAGAGAACCACUCACAUUCUCUUGUGAUGGAUCUUCAACCAUAGACCUGCUAAUUUAUCAGACUCUCUGCUAUGCCCAUGAUGACCUGGAUAUGAUUGAUGUGGACGACUACCUGCUGAAAAUCUGCGGCCAGGCAGAGUUCCUCAAAAACACUCAGACUCUGGCGAGCUUUGAGUACAUCCAGCAGUGUCUGAAGUUUGACUGGGACAUUCAACUCAUUCUUACCAAACGGAGUUCUGUCAACAUGGAGCUGGGCCGAACGGCAGAGGAUGAUGUUACUCCAUCCACCAUGAACCAAAGUAUUCUACUGCAAGAGAGGUCAAUCAAACAGACCGUGACCAGGGAGGCACUGACUCUUCUCCUGGAUACCUUUUACAAUGAGGCUGAGUCUUUCCUUUUAUCGGAGGUUGAGUUGCCGUUGCAUGUGGAGAGGUUAGUGCAGUCUGUGAAGGCUUUGUGUUCUUCUCUAGCAGCUGUUGAAACACCUGACAUCACUGCUGCCCUAAACCAACUGCCAGCAUGCCCCUGCAGACUACAGCCUAAAGUGCAAAAGGAUGUCAGUGUCUUGGCAAAGAGAGAAAACAGAGUGACAAUUGUGGAGAAAUUGACUGCAGCCAUCUUGGAUCUUGUGGAGUUGUACUGCAGCACUUUCAAUGCUAAUUUCCACACCAUGCCACACAGCAGCAGAUCCACAGCCCCCAUACAGGAAGCUGGAAUGGUCACCAACGUGCUUUCCUUCAGCGUUUAUGCGGCUCAUCGCAUCCCUAUCACAUGGGCUCAUUCAUUAUACAUUUGCUUCCCCAUCCAGAUCAACCAGUUGCCAAGGGAGUCACAGUUGACUGUAACACUAUAUGCCACCCCUGUACCGCCCCCUGGAGGUGCGGAGGAGAAGGGCAAACAGAAACGCAGCAUUGAGGCUUUGGGUUGGGUCACCAUGCCCUUAUUCAACUUUAGACAUGUUCUAACAUGUGGGAGGAAGCUGCUGGGUCUCUGGCCUUCAACCCCUGGCAGUGGAAAUGCUCGUUCCAGUUUGCCCAACUUCAGCCAGCCAGACAGUGUCAUCCUUCAGCCAUGUGGGACACUUUUUAUGAUGGAUGGAUGUUUUGGAAGAGCCAGGAAAAUUAAUAUAACUCAGAUUCGGUUGACUCCAGAGGACCGGCGUCUAUUGUGGGAGAAGCGUUAUUUCUGCCACGUUGAAGCCAGUCGUCUGCCGCUGGUCCUGGCCAGCGCACCCAGCUGGGAGUGGGCAUGUCUUCCUGAUAUCUAUGCCCUGCUCCGCCAGUGGGGAUGCAUGAACCACCUGGAUGCCCUAGGCCUGCUGAACGCCACGUUUCCAGAUCAGGAGUGCAGGCGGACAGCGGUCCAGUGGAUGGACUCAAUCUCUGAUCCUGAGCUUUUGGACUUCCUUCCUCAGUUAGUGCAGGCGCUGAAGUACGAGUGUUAUCUGGACAGUCACCUGGUGCGUUUUCUGCUGAGGAGGGCCAUUGGGGACAUACGCAUUGCUCACUACCUCUUCUGGUUGCUGAAAGAUGCUCUUCAAGACUCUCAGUUUAGCGUGAGGUAUCAGUAUCUGCUGGCGGCUCUUCUCUGCUGCUCUGGUCGUGGUUUGAGAGAAGAGUUUGAUCGGCAAUGCUGGCUGGUCAAUAUUCUGGCUAAAAUAGCCCAACGUGUUCGAGAUGCCUCGCCUUCAUCCAGACAGGCUAUUCUCCGGGAGGGUCUGGAUGAGGUCAAACAGUUCUUCUCUAUGAACAGCAGUUGUCGACUUCCUUUGAACCCGGGCCUGUUCGUCAAGGGCAUCAACAUACAGUCUUGCUCCUACUUCAACUCUAAUGCAGUGCCCCUCAAGCUGUCGUUCCAGAACCAGGAUGCUCUGGGGGACCACGUCAAUGUCAUCUUUAAGUGUGGAGAUGACCUGCGGCAGGACAUGCUGACGCUGCAGAUCAUCCGGAUCAUGAAUAAGAUCUGGAUCCAGGAGGGACUUGAUAUGAGGAUGGUCAUCUUCCGCUGUUUCUCUACUGGACGAGGCAAAGGCAUGGUAGAGAUGAUUCCCAGUGCAGAAACCCUGAGGAAGAUCCAGGUUGAGCAUGGAGUGACUGGUUCUUUCAAAGACCGGCCUUUGGCAGAUUGGCUGCAGAAACACAACCCCACUGAGGAUGAGUAUGAAAAGGCAGUGGAAAACUUCAUCUAUUCGUGUGCUGGUUGUUGUGUGGCCACAUACAUUCUAGGAAUCUGCGACCGCCACAAUGACAACAUCAUGCUUAAGACUAGCGGACACAUGUUUCACAUCGACUUUGGCAAGUUCCUGGGGCAUGCACAGAUGUUUGGCAACAUCAAACGGGACCGGGCUCCUUUUGUGUUUACAUCUGACAUGGCGUAUGUCAUCAAUGGAGGUGACAAGCCAUCCAGCCGUUUCCAUGAUUUUGUGGACUUGUGUUGUGAAGCCUACAAUCUGAUUAGGAAACAUGCACAUCUUUUUCUCAAUCUGCUUGGGCUGAUGCUCUCCAGUGGGAUACCAGAGUUGUCUGAUGUGGAUGAUCUGAAAUAUGUUUAUGAUGCUCUGAGACCACAUGAAUCAGAAGCAGAUGCCACCAUGCACUUCACCAGGCUAAUCGAGUCCAGUCUUGGCAGUGUGGCUACUAAGCUCAAUUUCUUCAUCCAUAACCUGGCCCAAAUGAAAUUUGCAUCCUCUGAGGAGCGUCCCGUUCUGUCAUUUGCUCCCCGUGUCUACACUUUAAAGAGUGAUGGUGUCAUUCGCAACCUAUUCGUCUGCAGACACAUCAAAACCUAUACUCCAAGCAAAGGCUAUUCUUAUGUUGUAAAAGUGGAGCGGGAAGGUCAGCAGGGGUCAACUUUAGUCCAGAGGACAUUUGAGGAGUUCCAUGAACUUCACAGUAAACUGCAGCUCAUCUUCCCUUCAUCAAAACUACCCAGCUUCCCCAGCCGCUUUGUGAUUGGUCGGUCUCGAGGAGAGGCCCUUGCAGACAGGAGGAAAGAGGAGCUAAAUGGAUAUGUUUGGCAUUUGAUCCAUGCUACUCAAGAGGUGGCACAGUGUGAUCUGAUCUACACAUUCUUUCACCCUCUACCAAGAGACGAGCGGGCAGGAAGUUCCAGCUCCUCUUUUUCUCCAGAUGUGUCCUGGGCUCCUGUUCCCGGUACAGUGGCAGGGGAAGUGAAGCUCUCAGUUCUGUACAAGAGCGACAAGCUUUUUAUCAUGGUGAUGCACAUCAGAGGCUUGCAACCUUUGCAGGACGGAACAGAUCCUGAUCCAUACGUCAAAUUGUACCUCCUCCCAGACCCUCAGAAAACUAGCAAGAGGAAGACCAAGGCAGCCCGGCGAACAUGCAACCCCACUUACAAUGAGAUGCUGGUGUAUGACAAGAUUCCACGUGGUGAUUUGCAGCAAAGAACCGUUCACCUGCGGGUACUGAGUGAGGGUGCAUUCUGGGAGAAUACCCUGCUGGGUGAAACCAUUAUUCAACUGAAAGACCUCACCCCGGGCCAUCGCUGGGUUGGCUGGCACCAGCUUGGCUCUGACAUAAACCGCUAACACUUGUGUGGAUGCCCAUUGGAAAUGAAGGAUUUCACAUGAGUCCUUCAGUGUGCAUGCGUUUGUGUCUGUCUUUGCUUAUGGGUCUGGAGUUGGAGAUGCCCAGCUGCUCAGAAGCCUGUUUCCCCCAGUGGGGGUUUGUGUUUGUUAAUUCUCCCAGGAGACGUGUAGAGUCGGUGAUGGAGUGUCAUCGCUUGAUACUGUUCUGGUGGGGUACCGUGCACCAUGUGAACCAGACCUUGGAUUUAUGGAAGCGGUUCUUGGUGACACUAUGGGACAAAAACCAUUUGGUGACACAAGGAUUGGCAGACAGAAUAUUUAAAGAUGAAAUAACUUUCAUGCGCCAUAUUUUUGGGGAGAUUUCUGGAAAAUUGAUGUCUGUGAAACUUUAAAGCCCCAUUUUGUCUUCUUGAGAAUGCUAAUGGAAAUUUAAGUUAUUUUUUUUUUAAGAUGUUUCUCUGUUGCAGCUCAAUUUUGAGCUAUGUUGUGUCCUGUGACAUUAGUUUUUCUCUUUGUAUCAGAUUUUGCAGACAUUUACCUAGGAAUUAAUAGUGAGGAACGCUUUUGUACUGUAAAGUUGGAUAAUUUCAGAUUGCCUGUGGCAUUUACCUGAUCAUGAAAAAGGGAUGAACACUUAAUAGUCUUUGGCUUGAAAUUGUGGAAUUAACUUGCUUCAUAUAACCACUGCAGGAAGUGACACAAACAGUACAGAGGGAAUGUAGAUUUUUGAUCAUGUAAAAUAGGUGGGUUCAUAAAAAAAGGAAUUGCAUGUACAGUAUAUUGAGCAAAGGAGACAAACCAGGAAUAUGAAUUUUGUUGCAUAAACCUCUAAGAUUUGUUUCUUUCCAAAAUGAUGGGGCGCAACUUUAUAUGCAGAAAAGGCUUUUGAAGGGACUUGAUUUUGCCUUGUUGAUAUAAGCAUAACCUACACAAGGACAUUUCUGUUUGGAAAUAGUUGAUUUGCAUGUUGUAAUAUUUGCUACUGGAUAAAUAUUGCAUUUUUGCAUUUGUUUGUCAAGUAUAUUGACCUCACAUUUUUCCAAGUUUUAUUGGUUAAUUUUGUGUGUGUGCGCCAAAGGGGGAGUGAAAUGAAUGCUUUAGACUGUAGUUAGGUCAAUUUCCAUUCCACAUUUGUACAGUAUGUAAAACUGCAUGUAAAUUAAAUGCUAAAUAUACCACAGGAGUUUUUUUUUUUUUUUCAACUUAAAGAUUUUGCAUUUAGAUUUGCUUUACUUUGCACUCAGUUUGAUUUUGAGAAGAACAACCUUAUAGCUCAUAUAAGUUUAGAAAAGAAAUUAAGUAAUUGGAAAUCUAUUUAAAUUAUAUUUGAUCUUACUUGCAUAAAAUUGUCUAAUUUAACAAAGUGGCAUUGAUGUUUGUGUUACAAAAAUAACCUACAAGUCAAAAGUGCAACCCCUGUAUGCGGAGGUGCUCUAACAAUCCAGUAGCCUUAAGCAAACUUAUAGGUAAGAUUAUCCAGUUCAAAGCAGUCCCUGUUCUAUAGCUCUUUCUAACCAGACAAACCAGCUCCAUUUCAGAUAUGAAGUACAUUUUCCCAAGUAUUGAACUUUCCUUCAAAUGACAAAUGGUUGUGUAUGUGUAUUUUUUCCCUCCAAAGGGCACUAUUGUGUGAUGUUUAACCUAAUGGGAAAUGAUUGUAUGAUUGCAUGCCAACCCAUAAUGCAAAGCUGAGUGUUUUAGAAAAAAUAAUAAUAAUAAUGUUUUGUGUGUGUAUGCAGAAGAGUUUGGAUUUAAACGUAUAGUACUUUUAUAACAUCUGUGACCCUUAUUUUAAUAAAUAAAGAGGAUGUGAUUAAAAUCA
Molecule: long non-coding RNA, 6891 nt
Organism: Cyprinus carpio (common carp)
Lineage: Eukaryota; Metazoa; Chordata; Actinopteri; Cypriniformes; Cyprinidae
Source: Ensembl